RNAcentral lists this unclassified non-coding RNA (267 nucleotides) under Hevea brasiliensis (rubber tree). Lineage: Eukaryota; Viridiplantae; Streptophyta; Magnoliopsida; Malpighiales; Euphorbiaceae. The record is from RNAcentral.
AGAUUUCACACUUUCCAGGGAAAGUACAUCAAAUAACCAUAGAUAAUUACACUUGAACAUAAAAUCCAUAUCCCUAUAGCCAAAAUAGUUGAAAUUAUGAUCAUCGACAGAAAAGAACAAAGAAUAACCAGUCCUAAAAUGCCGCCGAUUCAACAAAAAAUUUAAAAAGAAAAACUUAGAUACUAACAAUGACUCUUUAAAAUCCUAAACAUUACAUGUCUAAAACAUUUAAUUUGACAUCGAAAUAGCUCUUUGUAAAUUCAAGAA